This 451-nucleotide ribosomal RNA is filed under the name uncultured bacterium. Its description in RNAcentral is "bacterial SSU rRNA". It matches the Rfam family "Bacterial small subunit ribosomal RNA", at positions 354 to 796 of the family's 1533-position model. The record is from RNAcentral.
GUGGGGAAUUUUGCACAAUGGGGGAAACCCUGAUGCAGCAACGCCGCGUGAGUGAAGAAGGCCCUCGGGUUGUAAAGCUCUUUCGGUCAGGAAGAAGGGCCUAGUGGCUAAUAUCCAUUAGGUUUGACGGUACUGAAAUAAGAAGCACCGGCUAAUUCCGUGCCAGCAGCCGCGGUAAUACGGAAGGUGCAAGCGUUGUUCGGAAUGACUGGGCGUAAAGGGCGCGUAGGCGGGCUUGUAAGUCAGCUGUGAAAGCCCAGGGCUCAACCCUGGAAUUGCAGUUGAAACUACUAGUCUUGAAUGUCUGAGAGGGUGGCGGAAUUCCGGGUGUAGAAGUGAAAUUCGUAGAUAUCCGGAGGAACACCAGAAGCGAAGGCGGCCACCUGGUGGAGCAUUGACGCUGAGGCGCGAAAGCGUGGGGAGCAAACAGGAUUAGAAACCCUAGUAGUCC